ACCUACGGGGGGCAGCAGUGAGGAAUAUUGGUCAAUGGUCGGGAGACUGAACCAGCCAAGCCGCGUGAGGGAGGAAGGUACAGAGUAUCGUAAACCUCUUUUGUCAGGGAACAAAGGCGGGGACGUGUCCCCGGAUGAGUGUACCUGAAGAAAAAGCAUCGGCUAACUCCGUGCCAGCAGCCGCGGUAAUACGGAGGAUGCGAGCGUUAUCCGGAUUUAUUGGGUUUAAAGGGUGCGCAGGCGGUCUGUUAAGUCAGCGGUCAAAGCCCGGGGCUCAACCCCGGCCCGCCCUUGAAACUGGCAGG
This 305-nucleotide ribosomal RNA is filed under the name uncultured bacterium. Its description in RNAcentral is "bacterial SSU rRNA". It matches the Rfam family "Bacterial small subunit ribosomal RNA", at positions 337 to 640 of the family's 1533-position model. The record is from RNAcentral.